ACAGCAUGCGCUCUUGUGUAUCUUGACGGCUUGAGUGCAAACACGGCUGCCUCUCGGGUUCAUAAUCGGCGUUCAGCAAAUCCUGCAGAGUGCAGGCAUGCAACGAUUUUCAAAUGUGAUCUGUGGGAGUCAUCAUUAUCAUCAUCAUCGAUUGUGUACUAUGUACUAUACUUCCAAAGUUCCAGACGGACUGCUUGAGCUGACUUGCAUCAAUGUUUCGAAGGAUGCACAGCACCUUUGCAAUUGACGCUCGUGAACAGUCCACGCACGGAUCACGAAUAAUCGUCCUUUCCGGUCGGAGAAAUCUUUUAAGCUUUACGCGGUUAUCCAACUCAAGUCGUCGAAAUUGGGAUGAAAGGAGAUGGCGCCUGUGAGCUGCUGGUUACUUUCGCGUGGUAAUUUCAGAUGGUUUUCGCUCUUGUGCUGGAGACCCACGUCGCGAAGUAACUCGGACCAAGGAUAUUAGUGCCUCCACCAUACCAAAUACUCAAGCCCAGCAGGCAGGUUCAGGAAGCCGAAAGCACGGCGGAAACAGGUUUCGGAGCUUAAGCGUCGAACAGAAUAACUUUGGCGGUUGCAGAUCCCAAGAUCAACGAAAAAUGAAUGUUUUCUAAUUUCUUCGCCAUUGUUAAUUCGCGCUUCGCAUCAUCCCGUCUCCCAAAUUCAAUGUAUACCAGAGCGAAUCACAAAUGAGCAUUGAAGUUCGGAGUGCUUUUCAAGAUGUCAGCCUAAUGGGGGUCGGUACUUGGAAAAGAAUGUCCAUCGCAGCCAAAUAUUGGAUUCAGAGCGAUGGGGGUUGGUGAGGUGCAGGUUCUCGGAACAGCUUCACACCUCGGGCAGGCCGGCUUGCACCUACUAGCGCCUUUAGCCAAUCAUCCCCACACAGCGGCUGUCUCCUUUGAGAUUACCAUUUAGAAGAUGGCCAGUCAAACCUAUCGGUGCAUCAACAGGCCUCCUAUGGAUCAGCCCAACAAACCCUGUGUUACCCACUUCUCAGAACGGGUUUUAGUUGACUUCCACUCUCUUGGCCUAAAACAAGUGCCGGGUACCUACAGCUACGAGGGUACUAUGUAGGUUCUGAUUAUUGGAAGCCUCUAUGAACGGGAAUCGUCUCCAAUCGCUAUUACUCUUGUCUCUACCGGUCGUGUAUAUUCUUGGACAAGACAGAGACGGGGCCGAAGAUAUAGCAUGGGGUAGGGUAGUUGCAGCAUCUACGCACAAACCCACUUCAAUAAUUUGGUCCUCGGAUCUUGGUGAGGCUUGAGGGUUAUAUAUCCCUACCAUACUUUUUUCUUUUUCUUUUUUUCUUUUUCAGCUUUGACCUACCUCAUGAGGUCAUUAACAUUCCUAGAACAAUUCUCGAUGAGAUUUUAAUUGAUACUCCCUGUUUUAGCCACAAGAUCGUGUAAUAAAACGGGCCCAUUGUUGCUCAAUACAAGCUGUGAAACUCACCACCAUCCCUCCUUGAAUCCACCGGAUGUCGAUUUCGGAAUCAGGCCCAAACCGCUAAGCA
This 1513-nucleotide small RNA is filed under the name Histoplasma ohiense. RNAcentral's name for it is "hypothetical lncRNA". Lineage: Eukaryota; Fungi; Ascomycota; Eurotiomycetes; Onygenales; Ajellomycetaceae. The record is from RNAcentral.